CAUGGGGAGCAAACAGGAUUUGGUACCCUGGUAGUCCAUGCCUUAAACAAUGAAUAUUACAUAUUGGAUUUAAUAUUUUUAUAUUGAAAAAUCUAGUAUAGAAAGUUAACACGUUAAAUAUUUCGCCUGGGGAGUAAAACCGCAAGGUUGAAACUCAAAGGAAUUGACGGGAGCUUAUACUUACGGUGGAGCAUGUGGUUUAAUCCGAUAGUCCGCGUGGAAUCUUACCAAUUUUUGACAAGUUAUUAGUUAUAUUAAAUAAUACAGGUGUUGCAUGGCCGUCGUCAGCUUAUGUUUUGAAAUUUAAUAUAUAAGUACAACCCUUAUUUUAAUUUGCUAUAAUUUAAAAAGAAUAAUAUUGUUAAACUAUUAAAUUUGCACUAUUAAAAUUAAAUAAAUAUAAGUAAAAAUUAUAUUUAAAAGGAUGAAGAUAGGUCGUUAUGACCCUUAUAAAUU
RNAcentral lists this ribosomal RNA (456 nucleotides) under Blastocystis sp. RNAcentral's name for it is "SSU rRNA". It matches the Rfam family "Bacterial small subunit ribosomal RNA", at positions 760 to 1210 of the family's 1533-position model. The record is from RNAcentral. Lineage: Eukaryota; Bigyra; Opalinata; Blastocystidae.